GGAUGUAAGGGUGAUCUGGCUGUGACAUCUGUCACCCCAUUGUCACCCCAUUGAGUCAGCUGAUCUGGCUGGCUAUGCAGGUGUCCCCUUCCUCCCUCAAAGAUCCAUGUGUGUCCCUCCCAAGGCCGCACAUUCAGUGGAAGAGGACUACCACCCCCGAUAGAGGAGGACUGUUCCUUGGUCCAGGGUAUAUGAGUAGCUGCCUGCCCCACAACCUCCAAACAAGCUCUCAAAAAUACAAGCCUCGGGCCAGGGAGAUGGCUCAGUGGAAUAAGCGCUUCCUUGGCAAGUGCAAGGGCCUAAGU
RNAcentral lists this small nuclear RNA (305 nucleotides) under Octodon degus (degu). RNAcentral describes it as "7SK RNA (ENSODEG00000023951.1)". It matches the Rfam family "7SK RNA". From Rfam's summary of the family: 7SK was discovered as an abundant small nuclear RNA in the mid-70s but a possible function has only recently been suggested. Two independent studies have found that 7SK RNA binds the CDK9/cyclin T complex (known as elongation factor P-TEFb). The record is from Rfam by way of RNAcentral. Lineage: Eukaryota; Metazoa; Chordata; Mammalia; Rodentia; Octodontidae.